This is a long non-coding RNA of Bombus impatiens (common eastern bumble bee), 1382 nucleotides long. RefSeq lists it as uncharacterized. The transcript is spliced from 2 exons. NCBI's taxonomy places the organism in Eukaryota, Metazoa, Arthropoda, Insecta, Hymenoptera, Apidae. The record is from RefSeq and is a predicted model, not a curated record.
CACACCCCCUAAUUGGUUCACCUCGCCGUACUGUUGCUGCUGCUGUUGUUGAUGGGGUUGUUGCUGCUGUUGCUGCUGCUGAUCUGCACCGAGUUCGCUCCCGUUACUCUCUGUCCGUAAACAACGUCGAACGGUUCUUUGAUGUCGAGGAUCGAAAGCUCCUUUCUUCAUUUUGCAUCUAUUUGAAGUGGCGUGCAGUAGAAAUAGAGAGGUGAACGGAUAUCCGUGAAGGAAGUACGAAGUCGUCAUCGAGGAACGCGAGUGUACUUUCCUCCGUCCAUGGAAGGGGCAAAAUUUAUGUGGCUUGGCCCUUUCUCCCUUCGGUUACGUCGGUCUCCAUAUUCCCUACUCAUCGUCUCUCUUUUCUACGCGAACGCCGAGCUGACGUACGCGUUACGGAGAAGAGGAAUAAAUAAGAAAACCGCGGCGGAAAGGAGGGCCCUACGAUGCCUCCGUGAUUCCUGGAAGAAGAGUUUCGUCGGCGACGCCGCCGACCGUAGAGACGCGUUUUUGCGCGGCCACCGGCCACCAUUUUUUUUUUCUUCGUCCCCCUUUUCGACAUCCCCUCGAUCUCCCCGUAAUGGCGGCUUCUUGGCAGAGGCGCGAAACACGCGCCCUUUACGCCACGUUUCCACCAUCGACGAUCCUCUAUCAAUUUACGUGGGGCAAGUUUGUUUUAGAACUUACGACGCUUGAAGUAAUUUUCAAAUGGUGCGAUCUCGCCACUUUCGUUUCUUUCGCUGUUCGCUGAUAGAUAUUUACUUAUUUAUCUGUCUAUUUAUUUAUCUAUCUAUACAUGGAAAAACGAUCUAUUACGGAUUACAGUUACGAUACUUCACGUACUCGACGUGGAGCAGUAAAGACGAAUAAAACAAUAUUAUCGUGUAUUUUAAAAGAUUACAUAAAAACAACGAUAUAAUUUAGACGGUUAUAAUAAAUAACACGUAGAGUGGAAGUUUUGAAGAAUUUGAAAGAUUCAGGAAGAGAGUCUACGGUGUUACGUAUUUCAUUGCUGUGUAUAUACACAUGUUCUAUUGGACCUAUUGGAUCAGGGUAAAGUAAGUUAGCUGUGUAGUAAUUUUGUGAAAAAAGUGGAGAGGAACGAAAAGGUCUGGAAGGGUCAUCGAGUCGCGUUUUACUUGAUGUUAGAUUUAUAUUAGAUCGUUAUAUUUUAUAUUAGAUAUGGUAUGGAUUAAAACAGUUCAUUUUUUUUUUUGUUAAUAAAUUGAAACAGAAAGAUAAGAUCGUCAAUGCGUCUCCGUUCUUCUGGAGAACGUAGACGAAGGGAAUUUUGAGCCAGCUCAUAGCUGUGAUCGUUUUUUAGCAUUGAAUUUUCUUCGUCUUAUCUAUCCAGUUAUCGUAUCAAUAAAGCGUUUCAAAGA